GUAUGUAGCUCAGUGGUAGAGCGCUUGCCUAGCAUGUGUGAAGCACUGGGUUUGAUCCUCAGCACCACA
Molecule: transfer RNA, 69 nt
Filed under: Marmota monax (woodchuck)
Lineage: Eukaryota; Metazoa; Chordata; Mammalia; Rodentia; Sciuridae
Description: tRNA.Ala
Source: RNAcentral